Molecule: long non-coding RNA, 853 nt
Organism: Humulus lupulus (European hop)
Lineage: Eukaryota; Viridiplantae; Streptophyta; Magnoliopsida; Rosales; Cannabaceae
Exons: 5
Source: RefSeq, a predicted model, not a curated record
GAGGAGCAUGACUAGGUGAGAUCCGGGCUCGCGCGAAAGUUGUGGCAGGACGUGGAGGACUUAAGGUGGAGGCCGAAAGUCCCUUGUUUCAAAGUUUUGUUUCGAAUGCUCUCUUGGUUCUGGAAAGCUAUGAACGGGCUUAUGUCAAUAUGGUCCGAGUUCAGCAGUUGUCAGAACUAGAGUAGGUUAUUGACUACUGCACACUUCCUUUGGGGAAUUCUAUUGCUGAGGGUCGUCGAGCCCUUAUUCGCAACAUGUGGACUGAGUUGAACACAGGGAGCAAAACGAAAUGUUGAGGUUUGGCAAGCACUUUUAGCUGUUAGAGCACUUGUGCUGCCACCUACUAAAGAUACUGAUAACUGGCUUUAGUUUGCUUCACUCUGUCGGAAAAGUGGACGGAUUAGUCAAGCUAGGUCCACUCUAAUCAAACUCUUACAGGUCAGUGGUGUAUAAUGGUUCUAUUGAGGUGACUUUGGAUUGGAACUUGAAGCGGUCAGACCAGAGAUAAAAAUGAAUAAUAUCGCAACUUUAUAAAGCGGUAAGGGCAAAGGGAAGGUUGACCAGCCAUGAGUUGGAGAGCUUGGCAGUGGGGUAUGCAUGUUCAACCUGCUCAGCUUAUUGACAUGAGUUAUUUGAAGGACAAAAAGUCCAUUUUUGUCGCUUAGGUCAACUCAUUUUGUAACGACCCAAAAUUACUAAUAAGGCUUAAGGGCCUUGAUUAGUGUGCUGGGAGGGCAUAAUUGGUAUUUAUGUGAAUAAAUGAUUAAAUGCAUGAUUAUGUGAUAUGCAUGAUCCUAUGAUUAUAUGGAUAUGUGAAAUACAUGUUUAUGAGUAUUAAAUAUGCAUGUGGGCC